RNAcentral lists this ribosomal RNA (577 nucleotides) under uncultured bacterium. Its description in RNAcentral is "partial 16S ribosomal RNA". It matches the Rfam family "Bacterial small subunit ribosomal RNA", at positions 355 to 932 of the family's 1533-position model. The record is from RNAcentral.
UGGGGAAUUUUGGACAAUGGGCGAAAGCCUGAUCCAGCAAUGCCGCGUGUGUGAAGAAGGCCUUCGGGUUGUAAAGCACUUUUGUCCGGAAAGAAAUCCUUGGCUCUAAUACAGUCGGGGGAUGACGGUACCGGAAGAAUAAGCACCGGCUAACUACGUGCCAGCAGCCGCGGUAAUACGUAGGGUGCAAGCGUUAAUCGGAAUUACUGGGCGUAAAGCGUGCGCAGGCGGUUUGCUAAGACCGAUGUGAAAUCCCCGGGCUCAACCUGGGAACUGCAUUGGUGACUGGCAGGCUAGAGUAUGGCAGAGGGGGGUAGAAUUCCACGUGUAGCAGUGAAAUGCGUAGAGAUGUGGAGGAAUACCGAUGGCGAAGGCAGCCCCUGGGCAAUACUGACGCUCAUGCACGAAAGCGUGGGGAGCAAACAGGAUUAGAUACCCUGGUAGUCCACGCCCUAAACGAUGUCAACUAGUUGUUGGGGAUUCAUUUCCUUAGUAACGUAGCUAACGCGUGAAGUUGACCGCCUGGGGAGUACGGUCGCAAGAUUAAAACUCAAAUGAAUUGACGGGGUCAUAGCUG